Molecule: ribosomal RNA, 2728 nt
Filed under: Triticum aestivum (bread wheat)
Lineage: Eukaryota; Viridiplantae; Streptophyta; Magnoliopsida; Poales; Poaceae
Description: partial small subunit ribosomal RNA
Source: RNAcentral
CGAUUAUACCUAUCACUCUCCCUGUCGUAGGGUCCGUCAAAAUACCUUGAUGAUUUGUAUCAACUCGUCGGGUACAGUUUAAAGUUAGUUCUCAUUCAAAUGUAUUAAAUAUACAAUUACAUAUAUAAUAAUUAUACAAGCGGGGACUGAAAAGUUAAAUAAUAGGAUUAACACGAUUAUAUCAUUGUUUAAGUAAUUUUUUAAAUCUUUGUGAUACUUGAGUCAUGGGCUUCUUUCAAGCACGAAAAGACUAUCUGGUAUAACAAGUCUUCUGUGACUACAUGAAAGCUCUGGAUUGAAUUCCCAACUGUGAAUACUAAUACAGCUACUCAGUUUACUUCAAGUCAGGUCAGAACUUACAUACUUUCUUUUCAAACGCUAACGACUAUACUAAAGACGGGGACUUUUAGAACUGCUCGUCAUGAAUAAAAGACGUAUGUUACAAGUCUUACUCCUCAGACUAAGAUUACUUGCUAUGGAACUUCCUCCUGUUCAACCUCGACACCUUGUGCCCUAAUCUUCAAAAACACUUCUGUGUAGACAAGUUUACAAUUUCGGCUAACAACCAUACUUCAAAAGUAGUUUCCUUCUUCGUAUACUGAAGAUGUUAUGUAUAAGAGCCCACGAACCAAAGUCAUAAGCCUUACCACUAUUAAUAUAAUUAACGUUACCGCAUGUCUGUUACGUCCUUAAUUAAACGGUUGCUCGCCCUUAGUGGUUCUUAUGAUUUAUACGUUGAUGAUCUACACCAACGUUCCGUUGUGAGUCCCAUGUAGAAUUACUUUUAAGUCUUACCAUACAGUUUCAAAAAUCCCUCCUUGUGUUAGUAAGGGAACAUCUUAGAACAUCGCUCUUCUUCGUGGACGUAAGUGUAGUUGUAUAACUGUUCGGUUAUUCUCUAAAUUAUUUGUUAGAAGCCCUCUUAUUACAAAGUGAUUGCUCCCAAUUAAGAUAUCAUCGUCCAAAGAUACCGAGUUGUUUCUUUCAUGGUAAGACAUUCUCCUUCAACGCUUGACAUACAAGAGUCUAACGAUCACUUUGUGAAGUCCUGCUGUAACGAUUCUGUGGCCUCUUGAAGGCACUAUACUAUCGUGACCUACUAUCUAAACGAAAAACACGUGUCCAACUACUACUGUUGUCCGAAUUCAGUGAUUACACCUGAUGACCUUCCUCAUCUAGUAAUAUAUUAGUGAAACCUCUACGUUAUUGAAAACUGUGAUGAAUACCUUGUUUGUAGAUGUUUUACAGUAAACCAUACAAACAUCCUCAAUCAUUGGUGAAACUUUCACAUCAAAAGCGACCUCACAAAAACUGAUUACUCUUCCUUCUCUUAAAUACAACCCGAAAAUUCGUUAAACAACGAUACUACCCUCCUUUUGUGGCUCAAUGAUAAGAAUGUCUAAUCCGAUCUCGUUAACCUUUGCGUCAGUUCUUUCUCAAAGGAGUACGUCUUGUAUCUACCACGUUUACCGUGCAGGACUUCUCCCGAGUACUUGAAGAACCACGACACAUAUCGUUCGUGUUUUGAAAACGGCUACUAAAGGUAUUCAAUCACUUGGUGUCCGACUGAUAUCUUCUCAAACUUCUACGCACCCCAAAAAAAUGGCAGUUUAUACCAAACGUCCUUGUAGGAAAGUACUGAUCUCGGAUGCUCACAUCCGUGUUUACCCGCUUUGGUAUAAAAUCGUUUCAAAAGACACGGUUUUACACAUCGUGAGUUGCAUCACUCACACGUUUGAAAUACGACUUCUAUGUAUGACAUACGUUAAGAAGUUAUUUACGUAAGUAAUGUGUCAUGUGAUUCGAAUAUCUGCUAGCACUCUCAACACUACGUCUACGACUUUCCUUCUUGUUUGCCUUUUAUUAAUUCCAGGUAAAACCUAUAGGUUACCUCUUCGUACGAAGUCAAUAGAUAUGACGCUUCCAAAUAUUAGAUAAGUUCUUCCUCGAGUAAUUCAGUUGUAUUAUGGAACACGAAGGAUCGAACCUCCUUGUAUUAAAAAAACAGUUCGUGCAGGUCCAGCUCAGAUCCCUUAGCACCAGCUUUCAAUAUAUGUUUUAGUUUCAUCUGCUCAGAUAACCUAUAAUGUGAACACUUACACCUGAAAUGCUUGUAAAACCACAAGUAACAUCGGUGCAGUAUCGCUAAAAACACUUGUCUCCACAGACGUUUUAGGGGCUAACAGUAUAUUACUUCGCCACCUGUUUCGUUCGGUCCAGUAGAUGAAAGUUGUUAUUCAACCUUUUCAUAUAGACGCUGUACUUGUUCCUUAGAUCUAGUAAAUCCGUGUUCGAUAAUAUAAAACGACGUUAUCUAUAUCACUUACUUCGACUUUGACUAGGUCUACGAAAACGUUACCGUUUCAGAUUAAAAUGAGCGACGUUCUACCUUAAUGUACUCGUGUUUGAAAGUUUCUGUUGAUGUACGGUCCAGCCUAUACCUAGUUAGGGACUUGUACUUCAUUCAUGUGUCAGACCAUAAGUUGUCCUUCUACUGCUUCAACCACUAAGUACAUAAGUUUAUCAACUAUGGCGUUCUUUAGAGAGAUAAGGCCAUAGAAGUUAAGAACGUGGACGAUAUUACUUCUUCUUGUCAUCUGGUAGUUUAUUUUCCAUGUACAGAUCGUACCUUCGUUUGUAGUUCUUCUUCUUCUUUGCACCCUUUUUUGGACUGGGCUUCUCGUUUGUUGGACCACCACACAAUCCCCAACAGGUCAGUUCCUUCAUC